GGGAAUAUUGGACAAUGGGCGAAAGCCUGAUCCAGCAAUGCCGCGUGUGUGAAGAAGGUCUUCGGAUUGUAAAGCACUUUCGACGGGGACGGAUGAUGACGGUACCCGUAGAAGAAGCCCCGGCUAACUUCGUGCCAG
This 138-nucleotide ribosomal RNA is filed under the name uncultured bacterium. RNAcentral's name for it is "partial 16S ribosomal RNA". It matches the Rfam family "Bacterial small subunit ribosomal RNA", at positions 357 to 511 of the family's 1533-position model. The record is from RNAcentral.